Molecule: long non-coding RNA, 8658 nt
Filed under: Sarcophilus harrisii (Tasmanian devil)
Lineage: Eukaryota; Metazoa; Chordata; Mammalia; Dasyuromorphia; Dasyuridae
Description: lncRNA (ENSSHAG00000032165.1)
Source: RNAcentral
CAGAACAAAAGGGAAAAACCAUGAGAGAAAAAAAAUUAAAAAAGGUGAAAAUAAUGAUGCAUUGAUCCACAUUCAGUCUCCAUAGGUCUCUCCCUGGAUAGAAAUGGCAUUUUCCAUCCAAAGUUUAUUGAGAUUACAUUAAAUCACUGAAUUGAACCAUGUCUAUUAUAGUUGAUCAUAACAAAAUCUUGUUGCUAUGUACAAUAGUUCCCUGGUUCUACUUCUUGCUUCACUCAGCACUAAUUUUUUAAGUUUUUAAAAAUUUUAUUUUUUUUGUUGCAAAGACCAGAUCUUCUAUAGGUACCACUAGCUAAUAUGAGGCCCACAAAGAGAAAUGCUCAUUCUUAAUGAGAGUCGACUGUAAUUUUUCAGCUGAAGUUCUGAAGGUCUCAAAUUUUGCUGGAUUCUUUGGUAAAAUUAAAGAUAAUGGUUACUGCAGAGAAGACAGGAAAAGCAGAAGUCACUGAAAAGAGUGAUAGCUCUUGAAUGAGAAGUCAAUUUUUCAGUCUUGUCUGACUCUUCCUAACCCCAUUUGGGUUUUGUUGGUUUUUUUGCGGGGGCAAAGAUUACUAGAGUAGUUUGGCAUUUCCUUCUCCAGCUAAUUUUUCAAAUGAGGAAAUUGAGGCAAACAGAUUAACAUGACCUGCCCAGGAUCACACAGCUAGUAAAUGUCUGAAGUCAGAUUUUAACUCAGGAAAAUGAGUCUUCCUGACUCCAGGCCAGGUACUUUAACUGCAUCCCACGUUCAAAUCUUGCCUCUUAGCAUUACCUGUGUGACCAUGAACAAGUAUAGGGUUCAUUUUCUUCAUCCAUUGAAGAAAAAGAAAAGGGGGAAGGUUGGAAUAGAUGACCUCUGAUAUUUCUUCUAGAUCAAUGACCCUAGGACUCAAGUUGUGAUAAAAUAUGAAAAUCUUUGCAAUUCUUCUUGUUGUCUGAGAACUUAGGGAGGAGAGUGAGGAGAGAAAUAGAGAAGGUGGAGAACCAAUAGGCAGGUGGACAGGUAGCCCUGGGCAUCAUAAGGGAGAAAGGUGGGUCCCCUCUAUAGAACAAGUCCUUCAGGGCGGUCUGACUCACUGUUUUUGUAUCAAGCCUCAUUCCACAGAGAUUCAUUCCACAAAUAUUUAUUAAGUGACGGCUAUGUACCCAGACUCCUCCAGAGGCCUCCUCAGACUGAUGUCUUAUCAUGGCACAAAAGUGACCCUGGGGCCUUGAAGAAUAUGCCAGUGGAUAAUAAGCUGGGGCUGGUUCCUACAAAAGCUUUCAGGAUAUCCUAGCCGUGGCCUGAGUGUCAGGCUUAGCUAGCUAGAUGCCCAUCAUCUAAAGGUUAAGGUUGACCACCAGGAAAUUAUUAUUUUAGUCACAGCAAUUUACAAAGACCAUUGAUUAAGGUUCGGUUGCCAUCUCUGUGGUGGAAGGAGUUGGAGUAUGGGGUGCUCAAGGAGAAUUUGGUGUGAGGGCUUGCCAACCCCCUUUCAAAGUUGCUCUUAUCCCCUUGGUGUUUACCUGGCACUUAACUCUUACCUGUGGCUCCAAGAAGCUGUAGCAUGUGUAGUAACCCCACCCCAGUAAAUUGUCUAGGCAGACAGGCUAAACCAGGUUGUGGAUAACCCAUGGGCCUCAAAGCCAUCAGUGAAUUAGUGGGGUGUUUACUCCAAGCAUGUGGACACUCCCUGGUGGAAUGGGCAGAUGAGAACAAUUUGUUCCAAUGGCCAGUGGCUUGAAGCAGGUGCGAUGGGGUGCUUAGAAUUUGGUUAGACAUUGAAGUAACCAAGGGAUCCACUGCAUUUCAGCCAUUGUCAAUCUUCCUCACUUCUGACAGACUGAUGACUUUGUGCGAAUUGCCUCACUUAAAUCCAAUUUACUGUCAAGAUGUCACCCUGUGAUGUCACUGGUCCUCUUUGAAGAUGAAGGACAAACAAUAACCACAUGAAAAAAAAAUCAGAGAAAAUCAAAGAAUGGACACAGAGUGCUAUGUUGGGCUCUGGGGGAUAAAGCAGACAUGGUUCCUGAAUUCAUGCAGUUUGUAGUUCAGCUCCUCACUCAUGUCUUUGCCAAAAAAAAAAACCCCAAAGGGGUCAUGAACACUUGGGCAUGACUUAGACAAGCUCAGCAAUAACAAUGAUAGCCUUAGCACCUAGGGACUCAUCUGAAGGCUGGGGAGCUCAGGUCUUCAUUCAUCUUGCUGUUGGCUACUGGAUACCAGAGCCUCAACUGCCAUGCAAAGCUCUCCAAAGCUAUCAAUAGAAAUUCUCUUUGAACAAAAGGGUUAAGAGAUAUGGCAAUCCAUUCUAAAGGAAAUUUUUUCAUUUCUUGAAUUCAGUAUUUAUUAAGUUUCUACCAGACAGUGGUGAUACAAACACCAAAGAAUGAAAGCCACAUCACAAUAGCUUGUUUGGGUACUGAGGUAGGAGACAUCAGCUGCUCAGCCUGCCUGUUUGCCCAGUUGUUGUUUUUUUUUUUUAAAGGAAGGAAAAAAAAGAGGUUUCCAUGGUAACCUGUGGACUCAAGUUGGCUCCUGACUGGGAGGUUAUAGUUUAAAAGCAGACCAUGAUGCUUUGAAAGCACUCCCCUCCCUUUCCAUAAUUCAAAAGAAAAAAACAGCAGAGAGCUCAUGAAAAGUCCAUGACAUGAGUAGGAAUGUGAAUGAGUCAGCUUACUAAAAAUGGCCUGGAGUCAUUCAUAACACCACGGAAGUCAGAGUUGGAAGGUCCAUCUUACCCUUCUCUAGGCCUUCCUCCCUGCAAUGCAGAAAUUCCUUCUACAACAUUCCUGAUGGGUGGUCAUCCACCUGCUCAAACACUUCCAUUCCCAAUGAACUCCCCAUCUUCUAAGGAGGCCCCCUCCAAGGCCAGACAUCGCCGAUUGUUUUUACUUCCCCAGGAUCAUUCACAUCUGUCCUCUCUUUUCACCUUAUCACCUCUCCUGUUAAACUAUAAAUACCUCUUACCUCUGAUCUGUCUCCACCUCCAAUCCCUCCUUUACAAAGAAGAUCCAAGGAAUCUUCUUAAUACAUUAAUCUGAUCUUGUCACUCCUCUGCUCAACUAUCUUCAAUAACUGUCUUGUGACUUAUUAAGAGAAAUAGAAACUUUUUAUCCUGGCAUCAAAGGCCCUUUGCAAGACCCCCUUGAUGUCUUCAAGCUAAGUGAUUCCUAAUUUUCAUCCUGUCUUCUCUUGUCUUUUUGAUUUUUCACUGCCCACUGUAUAGGAGAUCCCCUAUUACCUAUUUUUUUUUUUUUUUACUCUCUUCAUUUAAGGUCCCACUCAGAUGCCAUCUCUUCUAGGAAAUCUUCCUAAUUUACUUCCUUGCUAGAGAGGAUCAUUCAAUCUUUGAAUCUUUCAGAUCAUUGUUUGACUUCUCUCAUGCACCAAAUCACUUUAUAAUUUAUAUCAUAAUUAUAAGUUGGAAAAUGUGCUUUCUUUUUUUCUCCCCAUUUCUAAUUUAUUUAUUUUUUAGAUUAUACAGAACAGAAGGGAAAAACCAUGAGGAAAAAAAAAAGAAAAUUGUAUGCAUUGAACCACAUUCAGUAUCCAUUAUUAUUCAGUAUCUAUUAGAAUUGCCUGUAACCACCUCAUUGUUGAAAAGAAUCAACUCCAUCACAUUUGAUCAUCACAUAAUCUUGUUGUACACAAUGUUUUCCUGGUUCUGCUUGUUUCAUUCAACAUCAGUUCAUAUAAAUCUUUUCUAAAAUCAGCCUGUUCAUCAUUUUUUAUAGAACAGUAAUAUUCCAUUACAUUCAUAUUAUAACAUACUCAUUUUCCAAUUCUUUGCCACCACAAAAAGAACUGCUACAAACAUUUUUGCACAUAUGGGUCCCUUUUCUUCUUUUAUGAUUUUUUGGGGAUACAGAUCUAAUAGUGGUACUGCUGGAUCAAAGAAUAUGCAUGAUUUUAUAGCCCUUUGAACAUAGUUUCAAAUUGCUCUCUAGAAUGGUUGGAUCUGUUCACAACUCCACCAAAAAUGUAUUAAUGUCCCGGUUUUCCCACAUCCCCUUCAACAUUUUUCAUUAUCUUUUCUUAUCAUCUUAGUCAGUCUGAUAGGUGUGAGAUGGUACCUCAGAAUUGUUUUAAUUUGCAUUUCUCUAAUCAAUAGUGAUUUAGAGCAUUUUUUUUCCAUAUGACUAUAAGUGGCUUUAAUUCCUUCAGCUGAGAAUUGUCUGUGCAUAUCCUUUGACCAUUUAUCAAUUGGGAAGUGAUUUUUAUUUUUAUAAAAUUGAUUGAGUUUUCUGUGUAUUUUAGAAAUAAGUCCUUUAUCAGAAAUACUGGCUGUAAAAAAAAAAUGUUUUCCAGCUUUCUCCUUUCCUUCUAAUCUUGGCUGCAUUGGUUUAGUUUGUGCAAAAACUUUUUAAUUUAAUGUAAUCAAAGUUAUCCAUUUUGUAUUUCAUAGUGUUCUCUAGUUCUUCUUUGGUCAUAAAUUCCUUCCUUCUCCACAAAUUUGAUAUGUAAACUAUCCCUUGCUCUCCUAAUUUGCUUACAGUAUCACCCUUUAUGGGGUGUGAGAUGUACAUCUAUGCCUAGUUUCUGCCAUACUCUUUUCCAGUGUUUCCAGCAAUUUUUGUCAGAUAGUGAAUUCUUAUCACAGAAACUAGAUUCUUCGAGUUUAUCAAACAUAGUACUUUCUAAUUGUAUUUCACCUUUUAUUAAUCUAGUUUCAAAUAGUUACCUUUCAUGAACUCUUUGUCUAGAUUAAACUCACCUGAUAACACAUAAUAUUUUACCUUUUUUCACUGUACUUUUGCUCAAGUGGUCUCCUAUAUCUGGAAUUCACUCCCUUCUUAACUCCCAAGCAUCCUUCAAAGCACAGCUCAUGUAAGGCCUUUCCUCAAUCCCCCACUUAUUGGCACACUCUCCCUCUGGAAAUUGAGAACAUGUUGUAUUCUCCUUCCCUACAGAAGUUAAGCUCCCUGAGGGUAGGGCCUGCUUUGUCUUUGUAUUCUCAGUGCCAGACAUAUAGUAAGACUUUAAUAAAUGUUUGUUGAAUUUAAUUGAUUUUGUAUACAUCUCCUCUUCCUACUAGGCCAUAAAGUCCUUGAAAACAUGUUCUGACAUUUUUUCCAUUUUGAUCUUUCCAGCACUCAGCAGAGAACAUUCUAUUCAUUUUGUUGCUGUUCAGUUGUUUCCCUUGUAUCUGAUUCCUUGUGGCCCUAUUUGGGGUUUUCCUGGCAAAGACACUCAAAUGGUUUGCCAUUUCCUUCUCCAGCUCAUUUUACAGAUGAAGAACUGAGGCAAACAGGGUGAAGUGACUUGCCCAGAAUCACACAGCCAGUAAAUCUCUGAGGCUGGAUUUGAACUGAGAAAGAAUGAAUCUCUUCCUGACUCCAGAGGAGGUAUUUUAUCCAUUGUGCCAUCUAGUUGCCCUUCCUCCCCAUAGCAGGAGCUUAAUAAAUACUUGUGAAAUUAUUGUUGUCAGUUAUUAAUAACUUCUUCCCUACAGUGAACCAAAAUGAGUUUUCCUCUAGCUUAGGUUUAUAGAUCUGCAGCUAGAAGGGACCUCAGAAGGCAUCUAGUCCAACCCUUUCAUUUCACAGAUGAACAAAUGGAGGUCCAUGAAAGCUAAAUAACUUGCAAGAUUUGAACCCUGAGCUCUGCCUUUCCUCUGUACCAUGCUACCUCCCAUAGCCUUCAUUCUGUUCUCUGGGAUCCUUCAGAAUAUACCUAAUUUUUCUUUUAUGAGAGCACUUCAAAUAUCCAGAAGGAAUAAAAGUUGGUAAACUAGUAUUUAAAUGAAGAGGUGAAGUUAAAUUGAGACCUCAGGAUAAAAGGGCACUAGGUGGCACAGUGGAUAGAGUGCCAGGCCUGGAAUCAGGGAGAUCUGAAUUCAAAUUUGACCUCAGACACUUAUCGACAAUGUGAUCCCUGUUUGCCUCAGUUUUCUCAUCUGACAAAUGAACUAGAGAAAAAAAUGGCAAACCACUCUAGAAUCUCUACCAAGAAAAUCCCAAAUGGGGACACAGAGAACUGGACAUGAUAGAGAUUACUGAACCACAAUAAAUAAUGGAGGGGAAAAAUGCAGUCAGAACUCAACAGUUUGAGAUCUUUAGAGGCAACUAGGUGGUAGAAAGACCCAAAUUCAAAUUUAGCUUCAAACACUGAUUAGCUGUGAGAUCCUGGGCAAGCCACUUAACCUUCCAGAGAUCUACCUCAGUUUUUUCAACCAUAAAAUGGGGAUAACAGCACCUACCUCUCAGGGUUAUUAUGAGGAUCAAAUGAGAUAUUUGUAAAGUACUUUGUAAUCAUUAAAGUACUAUUAAAUGCUUUUACUUUGAUGAUGGUUAUUAUCAUUAGUAGUCCACUAAAAGCAUGUUUUCUGAACUUGGAAUUAGGAGACCUCAUUCAAGGCCCUCUGACAAUUAUUAGCAUUGGGCAAGUCAUUUUAUUUCUCUGAUGCUCAGUUUUCUCACUUUUAAAAUGGGGGUAAUCAUACUUUUACUGACUUCACAAAAUGUUAUAAAGAUUCAAACUAUAAAGCUUAUGAACUCUAAAUGCUAUAUGAGUCAAUUAUCAUUAUUUUUUCCAAAUUUCUAUAAACUGAAAGCUCAUAAAAUGCUCCUCAUACACUAUUGCAAUUAUUUUGUAUGGCAUUAUAUAUGUACAUGUCUUCCCCGACAGAAUAUAAACUGGUUGAGAGUAGAAAUUUUUUUUUUUUUGAUUUGUAUCUCCAGUGUCUAGCACUGAAGAAGCUUAAGAAAUGUUUGUUGAUUAAUUAAUUAGCUAGUUGAUCUUUACAACAGCUCUGUGUAAGGUAAAUAUAAUAAUUAUCUCCAUUUUAUAGCUGAAGAAAUCAAGGCUUAGACAAGUUAAGUGACUUAGAUAGCUUGUAUGUGUAUGAGGCUGGAUUCCAAUGCUGCUCUUCCUGACUCCAAAUUCAGCACACCAGACACAAUGACAAGCUGCUUCUCGUGUGUUGUAGGAAACUACAAUGGUCAGUGAAACAACUUUAUGGGGCAGGAGGCUGUUAUUUCUGCAGGAACAAUGUUAUAAAGAUAAUCCUAGUACAGUAUUUGUUAUAAUAGAUUCAUAAUAAUAUUGCUGAACUACACCCACCAAUGUCAACAACAUUAUGUGGAAUAUGCCAAUAUUGUUUCUUUUUCCAGCUAUGGAAUUCUACUAUUCUCCUGGCUCCUCAGGCUUUCCUUCUCCUCACUAAACAUUGCCAGUUCCUUUUGAGUGAGUUUCUGCAAGACUCGUCUGCCCACAAGAAAAGGUGACGUACAAUUUGGUCAUAAGCCAGGUCAGUCUUGACUUGAGCUAUUGGGUAUACUUCAUAUUCUUGGGUCUGUUGACUUAAGAGAAGUCAUUCACUGAUAAAGACUGGGCUUGGUUGGGCUGGGGAGUUCAAGUAAUUCUCUCAGUUCCAUUCCUCUCCUCCCUUUCCCUCCCCACUUCUUUCUGUUUGAAUUCAGAAGAACUUUAGACUUGGAGACUUAUUAGGAAGUCAUAUUCUUAAUAAUAGCUUUCCAUAGUUUGGGGUUUUUUUUUGAUUCUUGUAACAACUCUGUGAGGUAGAUACCAUUGUUAUCCCAUUUUACAGAUUUUACAAUCCCAAGGUUCAGGGAGAUGAAGAUAUUUACCAGGAUCAUGCAGCUACUAAGUGUUUGAGUUGGGGUUUGAAUUCUGAUUUUUCUGACUCUCAAUUCAAUGAGCUAUCUCUUCUUUCAAUCAUACUUCUUUCAAUUCAUACAACAUACUAAGUCUGAUAUUCAAGAUCUUUGUCCCAUUGUGUAUGUAUACAUGUGUGUGUAAACAAUAAUAGGAAAAACAAAGCUUUCCCUUUGAAGAAUCAUCCAUAAAAAAUACAUCCCAGGGCAUGGGGGAAAUACUAUAGUUACCUUGGUAGGUCAUAAUGUCUGUUCUUUCGUUCUUUUAUUUUUUUGUUUUGAGUCUUUUUUAAAUAUGUAUUAUUUUCCCAAAUAUACACAGAUAGUUUUCCACAUUCAUCAUUGUAAGACUUUGUGUUCUAAGUUUUUCUCCCUCUCUCUCUUACCUUUCUCUUCUCCAAGAUGGCAAGCAAUCCAACACAGAUUAAAUAUGUACAAUCCUCUUAAACAUAUUUCCACAUUUACCAUGCUGUGCAAGAAAAAUCAGACCAAAAGUUAAAAACCAUGAGAAAGAAAAAGCAAACAAACAAAAAAGGCGAAAAUACCAUCCUUCGAUCCCUAUUCAGUAUCCAUCAUAUUCUCUCUGGGUGCAGAUGCACUUUACAUCCCAAGUCUAUUGGAAUUGAAUCAUUACACUAUUGAGAGUAGUUGUCAAGUCCAUGAUGGCUAUACUAAAACUUAUAUUUUUUACUUCUCAGUCAUAUUCUUGACAUGAAAUCUGUAUAAACUGCUUUGUAAGUCUCAAAGUACUCUAUAAGUCAUAGCUAAUAUUAUGUUAAUGAAUUUUGCAAGAUGUCUAUACUUAAUAGUCUUAGAAAGUUAGAGAAGGAAAGAGAUUUGUCCAUGGUGACAUAGCUAGUGAAUGCAAGUUGCACCCACGUCUUGACUCCAAAUCAACACUCUGUUUAUUAUUAUUAUGAGUGAUAGUAAUAGUAAAAGGUAAAAGGGUGAUGGUGGGAGUAGGGAUAGAGAUGGAAGGAGGGAGGAGGAAGAGGAGAAAGAAGGAAGAAAAAGAAGAAAAAGGAAGAGAAGGAGGAAGAGGAGGAAGAGAAGAAAAAAGAA